Molecule: ribosomal RNA, 734 nt
Filed under: uncultured Cellulosimicrobium sp.
Lineage: Bacteria; Bacillati; Actinomycetota; Actinomycetes; Micrococcales; Promicromonosporaceae
Description: bacterial SSU rRNA
Rfam family: Bacterial small subunit ribosomal RNA
Source: RNAcentral
GACGAACGCUGGCGGCGUGCUUAACACAUGCAAGUCGAACGAUGAUGCCCAGCUUGCUGGGCGGAUUAGUGGCGAACGGGUGAGUAACACGUGAGUAACCUGCCCUUGACUUCGGGAUAACUCCGGGAAACCGGGGCUAAUACCGGAUAUGAGCCGUCCUCGCAUGGGGGUGGUUGGAAAGUUUUUCGGUCAGGGAUGGGCUCGCGGCCUAUCAGCUUGUUGGUGGGGUGAUGGCCUACCAAGGCGACGACGGGUAGCCGGCCUGAGAGGGCGACCGGCCACACUGGGACUGAGACACGGCCCAGACUCCUACGGGAGGCAGCAGUGGGGAAUAUUGCACAAUGGGCGAAAGCCUGAUGCAGCGACGCCGCGUGAGGGAUGAAGGCCUUCGGGUUGUAAACCUCUUUCAGCAGGGAAGAAGCGCAAGUGACGGUACCUGCAGAAGAAGCGCCGGCUAACUACGUGCCAGCAGCCGCGGUAAUACGUAGGGCGCAAGCGUUGUCCGGAAUUAUUGGGCGUAAAGAGCUCGUAGGCGGUUUGUCGCGUCUGGUGUGAAAACUCGAGGCUCAACCUCGAGCUUGCAUCGGGUACGGGCAGACUAGAGUGCGGUAGGGGAGACUGGAAUUCCUGGUGUAGCGGUGGAAUGCGCAGAUAUCAGGAGGAACACCGAUGGCGAAGGCAGGUCUCUGGGCCGCAACUGACGCUGAGGAGCGAAAGCAUGGGGAGCGGACAGG